RNAcentral lists this ribosomal RNA (254 nucleotides) under uncultured bacterium. Its description in RNAcentral is "partial 16S ribosomal RNA". It matches the Rfam family "Bacterial small subunit ribosomal RNA", at positions 524 to 776 of the family's 1533-position model. The record is from RNAcentral.
UACGAAGGGGGCUAGCGUAGUUCGGACUUACUGGGCGUAAAGCGCGCGAAGGCGGUUUUGCAAGCCAGAGGUGAAAUGCCUGAGCUCAACUUAGGAAUUGCCUUUGGGACUGUGAGACUUCGAGGACUGGAGAGGGGAGUGGAAUUCCCAGGGUAGAGGUGAAAUUCGUAGAUAUUGGGAAGAACACCGGUGGCGAAGGCGGCUCACUGGCCAGUUUCUGACGCUGUAGCGCGAAAGCGUGGGGAUCAAACAGG